RNAcentral lists this ribosomal RNA (450 nucleotides) under uncultured bacterium. Its description in RNAcentral is "bacterial SSU rRNA". It matches the Rfam family "Bacterial small subunit ribosomal RNA", at positions 28 to 476 of the family's 1533-position model. The record is from RNAcentral.
GACGAACGCUGGCGGCGUGCUUAACACAUGCAAGUCGAACGGAGCGCCUGUGAAAGAGACUUCGGUCAAUGGAUUGGGAUGCUUAGUGGCGGACGGGUGAGUAACGCGUGAGGAACCUGCCUUUCAGUGGGGGACAACAGUUGGAAACGACUGCUAAUACCGCAUAACAUAUCUGCAUCGCAUGGUGUGGAUAUCAAAGAUUUAUCGCUGAGAGAUGGCCUCGCGUCUGAUUAGCUAGUUGGUGGGGUAACGGCCUACCAAGGCGACGAUCAGUAGCCGGACUGAGAGGUUGGCCGGCCACAUUGGGACUGAGAUACGGCCCAGACUCCUACGGGAGGCAGCAGUGGGGAAUAUUGGGCAAUGGGCGCAAGCCUGACCCAGCAACGCCGCGUGAAGGAAGAAGGCUUUCGGGUUGUAAACUUCUUUUAAGAGGGAAGAGCAGAAGACGGU